Nicotiana tabacum (common tobacco) is the source of this 728-nucleotide non-coding RNA. The record is from RefSeq and is a predicted model, not a curated record. Lineage: Eukaryota; Viridiplantae; Streptophyta; Magnoliopsida; Solanales; Solanaceae.
CAGCUAGCGUGGUUGGCGGCGACAGCAGCAGCUCCUCAGUCGACUUCUCCGGCAUAUUUUCCCUCGAGGAAAAGGAAAGAGGGCGAGAUAUGAGUCACGUUGAGGUCUUCGAGGAGACGUAUAAGAAAAAGAAGAAGGAUGGUACAAGAGAACACUGGGUGGAGACACGAAGAUUAUCAUAAAGGGUGAAAGAAUGGCAACAAACUCAGCCUCUUUCAAUUCAACCAACACCUGAUGAUAUGGGUUCAUUGUGGACAGUGACAGCGGGUGGAGUAAAGAAAGGCAGAGUCUACGAACUUGGAGUAUGCCGACCUACAGGUCAUCCAAACCCACUCCUAGCCAAUUCUUCUUCUUCUCAAAAUUAAGAACAAAUGGAAGAUAUAAGAAAGGAAAUUCGUGAUUUGAAGCAACAAUUGGACUCCCAAUUCGGAACAUUUGUUAAGAUGCAGAAAUUCAUGAGAAAACAUGAGCAUGAUCUAUCUGAUGAUGAGGAUGAACAAACUGAAUCUGAUGUGUAGUAGUUUAGGUAUGGUAUUUUGGUUGAUUGGUAAACUUGAUUGUGAGAGACAAUUUUAUGUUUUAUUUUAAAACUUGAAUGUGGGCUACUAUUUAGAUGUUUUUAUGCCCAAAAUUGUUAGGUUUAAUGGUUGGUAUUGUUGUUUUAGGUUAUGUUAAUAGUUGGUAUUGUUGGUUUAGAUUAUGUUAAUGAUUGGUAUUGUUGGUUUAGA